Molecule: long non-coding RNA, 743 nt
Filed under: Brachypodium distachyon (stiff brome)
Lineage: Eukaryota; Viridiplantae; Streptophyta; Magnoliopsida; Poales; Poaceae
Description: long non-coding RNA (BDIS_LNC003952)
Source: RNAcentral
GAGACCUGAUGGUCGCAUCCAAUCCUGUAGGCAUAUCAGUGCAUCCGCUAUUUCGCUAUUCAACCGACUUCGGUAGUCACUUAUCACUCUACUUCCAGUGGAGAAUGCGGAUUCUGAUGCUACCGUUGAAGCUGGAAUUGCCAAUAUGUCUCGCACCAUACGCGAUAUAGUAGGAUACUUCCUCCUAUUGACCAUCCACCAUUGCAGAAUGUCAAUAGGUGUAUUUGGACUUACUAGCGCCUCUUUUAGAUAGCUAUCUAGCUCAUUAUGCUUAGUGCGAUGUCUCUGCUGCUCAUCAACAUGGUUGCUCCAACUCGUCCAUGGAUCAUUUGUUGGAGAUGGUUGUGUCUGCUGCUCAUUGCCAAUGUUUGAGUCACCAUGUGCAGAAAAAAAUGCAUUGAACAUGUCUCUGAAAAUCCUCUUCACCUUAGCUAAACAUUUGGGUCCUUCCAUUUCUAACUCAUCCUUCAAGUUGAACUCCAAAAAUUUGUACUUGCACCGAGGAUCAAGUAUUACUGGGAUACAAAUUGUCAAGUAUGAAAGCCUCCAGUACUUCAGGAAUUUUUUCUUCAUUGCAUUUACCAUUGAUCUAAUGGUAGAGUUUGCAUUUGAAGCUUCCUUUCCCAGCAUCCAUUUAACCUUCCAAAUCUCAUUGAAAUAGGUGUUAAUUGUAGAAUAUAGUGAACCAGAAAGUACCAUUGUAGCAUCAUUGAAGAUCUCUAACAACUUGCAAAUUUCUUCAG